GUUCAGAGAGGGAGGAGGAGAGAGAAGGAGGGAGGGAAGAAAGGAGAGAGGGAGAGAGCCAGAAAACAGAGCAAGAUAAAGGAAGAGAAUGCACCUGAAAUAGACACAAGGAUAAAUGGAUCAAGGAGAGAGGAGAAACAGAUAAUCACAACAGCGAAUAUUUGUUAAAUGCAUGCUCUUUGCCAGACUCUCCAAGAUAUGCAGAGCUUUGGGCCAGGAUCCUACAGCCACGGGUCAUGCAGAGCCAGUUGGCCACAUCCUUUGGGCCAAAUUUGGUCCUAACCAGGUCUUACCACGGUAACUGCUAACCAGUCCAUCUUCAGUUAAUAUUUCAUGCGUAAGAUGUUUCAUGAAGUAACUGAAUGGGCUAAUGGGUUGUUCACUGGAUAAGACUCCCAGAUACUCCCUUUCAUGCCAUUCCCCAGAAUUCCUUCACCUCCCAGUGCUGUCUGUAAGGGUGAAGAUACUCCAUUUUGCCCCAUGCUCUUUGCUGUGCCCCAGAUAGGCUCAAACAUUUUUCCCUUUUGGGGAUUUUGCAGGUAGGAAUUGUUGAACAUCUUACCAUUUAAUCCAGAAGUUAUGUCCUUUAAGGAAUCGACCCUGAGCCUGUGAGUUUUACUUUGGGUUGGGGGUGAAGGAGUGGACCUUGCAGCAUUCAAGGUCAUCCAAGAUCAUCCAGUUAAGGCCCCUAAGGUCACUACGGGGGGAAAAGCCUGGUGAGGGAAGAGAAAGCAUUAGGGGGAGCUGCACCGUGCUGAGAAAUAACACCACACAGAAGUCUGUGUUCUAAUCUCAGCUCUGCUUUGCAUUACUGUGUGACCUGGAGCUGAUCACAGCCCUCUGAGUCUUAAAGGGGUUGGACAAGGCCAACUAAACAUUAGAAACACCUGAAAGUGCUGGUUAAAAGGAAGAAUGCAUGAGCUUCACUCCAGAUUUACUAUAUCAGAAUUUCCAGGGUCAGGGUCCAAGAAUCUGCAUGUUUAAUACGCUUUCCACAUGAUUUUUCCCCCCUCUGGACUUAAGAAAACAAUGGGCAAGUCAGCUCAUGAAGAACUUUUCAGAUAUUCAGACUAUUAUUCUGAGAGAGAAAAUAUUGGCAGAGAACAGAUGGGAUUUUUCUCAAGGAAAAGAAAUGGAAAUCCUACAUCUUGCAAGAAAUAGAAAAAAAUAAAUAAACUGUUUGAAGAAGAAUCACAUCAGGCUGGCAGGAGAGAGCCUGCGGCUCGGUGUCUGACCCAGAAUGUUAAAGCCAGCCUGGCUUGGCUCCAGGAUAAAGGACACUCUGUCAGCCUCUCCACAUUGAUUCAUCUCCCCAGCCCCAAGAUCAGGAGAGCAUUCUGUUCCUUGAAGCAUUUUAUGACUGUAAGUCAGAAGUGCUGCAGUUUUAAUAAAAAGCUGUAUUGUCC
This 1406-nucleotide long non-coding RNA is filed under the name Homo sapiens (human). RNAcentral's name for it is "long intergenic non-protein coding RNA 2177". The record is from RNAcentral. Lineage: Eukaryota; Metazoa; Chordata; Mammalia; Primates; Hominidae.